AAGAACGCAGCGAAAUGCGAUACCUAGUGUGAAUUGCAGAAUUUCGUGAAUCAUCGAGUCUUUGAACGCAAGUUGCGCCCGAGGCUUGUCCCGAGGGCAUGCCUGCCUGAGCGUC
RNAcentral lists this ribosomal RNA (115 nucleotides) under Mesoptychia turbinata. RNAcentral describes it as "partial 5.8S ribosomal RNA". It matches the Rfam family "5.8S ribosomal RNA", at positions 40 to 153 of the family's 154-position model. Rfam says of the family: 5.8S ribosomal RNA (5.8S rRNA) is a component of the large subunit of the eukaryotic ribosome. It is transcribed by RNA polymerase I as part of the 45S precursor that also contains 18S and 28S rRNA. The record is from RNAcentral. Lineage: Eukaryota; Viridiplantae; Streptophyta; Jungermanniopsida; Jungermanniales; Jungermanniaceae.